This is a non-coding RNA of Xyrichtys novacula (pearly razorfish), 737 nucleotides long. NCBI's taxonomy places the organism in Eukaryota, Metazoa, Chordata, Actinopteri, Labriformes, Labridae. The record is from the annotation of a GenBank genome assembly.
GUUAGGGUUAGGGUUAGGGUUGGAGCUAGGGUUAGGGUUAGGGUUAGGGUUGGAGUUAGGGUUAGUGUUGGAGCUAGGGUUAGGGUUGGGCUUGGAGCUAGGAUUUUUCUGAGUGCACUGAACCAACUCCCGAGUCUCUAGGACAUUCCUAAAAAAAUUUGAUUUUUUCCCCAUAGGAAUGCAUGGGUUAGGGUUAUGGUUAGGGUUAGGGUUGGAGCUAGGGUUAGGGUUAGGGUUAGGGUUGGAGUUAGGGUUAGUGUUGGAGCUAGGGUUAGGGUUGGGCUUGGAGCUAGGAUUUUUCUGAGUGCACUGAACCAACUCCCGAGUCUCUAGGACAUUCCUAAAAAAAUUUGAUUUUUUCCCAUAGGAAUGCAUGGGUUAGGGUUAGGGUUAGGGUUGGAGCUAGGGUUAGGGUUAGGGUUAGGGUUGGAGUUAGGGUUAGUGUUGGAGCUAGGGUUAGGGUUGGGCUUGGAGCUAGGAUUUUUCUGAGUGCACUGAACCAACUCCCGAGUCUCUAGGACAUUCCAAAAAAAAAUUUGAUUUUUUUCCCAUAGGAAUGCAUGGGUUAGGGUUAUGGUUAGGGUUAGGGUUGGAGCUAGGGUUAGGGUUAGGGUUAGGGUUGGAGUUAGGGUUAGUGUUGGAGCUAGGGUUAGGGUUGGGCUUGGAGCUAGGAUUUUUCUGAGUGCAAUGAACCAACUCCCGAGUCUCUUGGACGUUCCUAAAAAAAUUUGAUUUUU